GCCAAGCCAAGUGGAUGGGAGGCUGUCUAGCGAGGAUGACAGUAGAGGCCACACUGUCCACCUGCGAUUGCCGUCGUGGACACAGUGAGGAGGUCCAUGGGUCCAGCACAUGUGCUGAGCUCUUGCCACGGCCCCUGUGUGCCCAGCACUUGUCCAGGCAAGAGGGACCCGGCCCAGGGAAGACCUGCAGGGAGAAGAUUCUAGAUCGAGAGACGAGCUUGGUGAAAGGUCCCAGGUGGAGAUGGUUCUGACCUGUUUGAGAAAGCGUGAGACGACCAGUGUGGCUGUAGCAAAAAUGUGUUCAGAAAGCCGUUUCUGCGUGCCUGCCCUGGGAAGGCUUGAGCGGAGGCCUGGGUCUGUUUAACAUCAGGCUGUGACCAAGUGGCCAAACAGCUUUGAUUUGUAAAGUAAAUGUCUGGAGGGAAUUUAUGCGAGUGGCUCUAGGGUCCCUGCCACGGAUGCAUCACACAAGGAUCGUCUUUCCUCAGAUGACCGGAAUGCAACGUAGUAACCGUCGGCUCAAACCCUGUCCUUGUUUGAGUUUCAGAACAAAAAUCCAUCGUCACUUGGAGCACGUCAUAGGUGGGUUCUCGUUAGUUCCUUUGCCCCCCGGAGCUCUCCAGGAUGGAGACCCGUCCCCUGCUGGGCUCCUUGCUGCCGCCCCUGCUGCCAUCGCAUCCGACUCUCCCCUGCCUUUUAAGGAAGCGCUCUUCGCCACUGGACGCGUUUCAGCCGCCGCAUUCCAGCCGGCACACAUGGAACCCAUUGCCGGCGAGCGCAGGGGAGCCAGCCAGCGUGGCAGAGAGGCGCUAAAAAUAGCCGCUGCAGCCUUCGCUGGGGCCCUGCUCCUCCUCUGCCCAAACAGGCGCUGCUGCGUGCGGGGCUCGCCCGGACUCUGCCGACUCCCUUGUUGGGCAGAAGUUGUCCCUCAACCCCCACCCCAGAUUAACGGUUGGUUUACAGAGGAGUGGCACCAGUGCCCAGUUUCCUGGGGUCACUCUCUCUUGCAGUCUCCCUGACCUCCCGGGGCCAGGUCCUCACCUUUCCUGCCAGAGAACCACAACGUGGGCAGCACGAAGCAGGAAACGCAUGGGCAGCCGAAGCGGCCACUGGCACUGUGUCUCAGAGACCCUCAGACUCAGCCCGCUGUGGUCCACUCGGAGCACACUGAGGAUGCUGGGGCCAGGUGCAGUGCCAGGCCCACGUGGUGGCAGGGCCAGCCUUGCAAACACUCAAAGCCGCGUGAGGCGGAACCCAGCAGCGGGCACUCUGGGGCUGGGAAACAAGGAAACUGUGUUCGUCUACAAGGCAGUAGGGUUUGAAGAUCUUAACACACCGCUGCCAGGAAAACGUCUUGUAGGCAAAAACGGCCCUUGGGCCACCCGUUUGCAGUGUCUGGUUAGAGGGUCCGAGUUAAAAUUCACUUCCCAGUGCACGCUGCUGGGUCUGAUCACGGUGUAUGGCUGUGCAAAGCUUCUCGGCGCUCCCUGGGGACGGGCCUCGCUGGGGAUCGCUGGCUGUGACCCCAGCAGAAAGACCGCGCGGUGCCGAGGCCCGGGCUUUGCCGCGAGCGUGUGCCUGAGCACGCGGGUUGCUGGGGUUGCUGGGCUUGCCGGGAGGCCGGGUUGUGCCAGGCGAGGCUGUCAUCAUAAAGACUAAGCCGAGUUCCCGGCACGGCCGGCGUCUGUGAAUGGGUGAGAGUCCUCCAUGUGCCACUGGCGUCAGGGCCACGAGGAAAGAGGAGGCCAAGCUGCGACAUGAGUCACGUGUCGAAGCCAUUCCCACCAAUGAAGAACCCGAAGGAAGCAGUUUCUAGAAGUGAAGCUGCAGGCCAGGGCCUCCUUCUCAAGCUGGCCUGGGGCAUCGGCCCGUGCAGGUGGCCGUGGUGCCUGGCGGCUGUGGUCAGCAAGCAGCGCUCUGCGCCCCAUGGCGUGGCUCUGCCCACCUCCGCAGCAAGGAUGAACACGUGAGCUCGGCCUAGCGGGGGACACAGGUGUAUAAACGGCCACCGCCGUGCGGAGUGACGAGAGCUUGCAUGGAGGCGCGCACACUGUGGGGAGCCCCCGUGAGGUGUGCACGGCAAAGGGCAGUGAGGACGAGAAUAAGAACAAUCCAGGUCCUCGCUCUUACACAGCGUUCAGAGACAGGUGCACAGGGCAGUCCGUGCAAGCUGGUAUGUGUGUGAGCGGCCGUGGGGGAGAAGACUGGGCGUUGAGGAGAAGCACCUCCGAGUCUGCACCCAAGUCCGCCUGGGGAGACUCACUAGCGGGACGGCAUCUUGGUGUGGCCGGGCAGGGCGGGACAGACGUCCCCGCCCGGCGAGUGGGGGAGCAGGGACAAACGCUGGAGGUCUCCGGGGGGAGGAGGGUGUUUAGGGUUCUCGCCCUUUGCUAUCGCUGGCCCCUCCUGGGCGUGGGGGUGAGGCUGGGCUGCCAGCCAGGACGUAGGUCUCGAAGGGCCCUGCCUGUCAUGCAAAGGAGUUGAUAUUCAGCACAGCCGAGAGGGAGGGACGUGGCGGAUGACCAGGACAGGCAGGUGGCGUGAGCGGAAUGACUGUAUUUCAGUGGAGUGCGCCAGGCUGCCCUCCGCUUCCUGCUGUAACGACCUGCCGGGUCCUGCCGAGCGCGCAGCCCGGCGGGCGGGAGAGGGGCCGAGGCUGUGCUCAGGGUGCGGCCGGGGCCGGCACGUGGGGUGCCUGAGGCGCAGGCGAGGAGUGGACCCGGGCCCGGCUGGACCCGGCUGGUGAGGAGAAGGGCACGUGACGAUGGCCUCCCACCGUCCGGGCGCGCAGCGGGUCCACUCCCGAGACGGGGGACACGUGAGGGCUGUGGAAUGGUCAAGAAAACAACGAGUGCCGGUUCUGAGGUUGUCACGGGGCAAGGGCUUGUUAGCAGUUAGAGCUGGCCGGGGCAGGGCAGGGAGCCCGCAGGGGGACCCCAGUGGUCUGCGAGGAUCCCUGGCAGCUGGAGCCUCCGACUGGAGUGCUGUUGCCCAGAGGGCGAGAGGGCACAGAGGGGCCGGGGCCUCUGGGGACACCGCAGUCAGGACGGCCGGGCAGAGCCCGAGGCAGGAGGGUGGGCUCUGGAAACCGGGGCGGCAGCAGGAGAGAUUUCAAGACAGCAGGACUGUGUUUCUCGUGACAGGUCACGAUUCUGCGGCACGGUUUCGAUGAACUCCCGCUCUUCCCGAGAUAAGCCCGUGCUAGGUCGCACCAUCCUGUUCUCUUGGACACCCACAUUAUUUCCCCUUUUUCACAACAUGGUGAUAAUCGACCACGUGAACAGAUGCUUACCUGGUUCCCUUUGUAUUUCAGAACAAACAAUAAGGAAUGGGAUACCUGGGUCCAAGACCACCCAUUUUUAACUCUUUCCGGGCGCAUCACCGAGCUGCCCAACGGAAGAGCUACACCAGUUUACACUCCUACUCAUGGGCUUUUACGUGUCUCAUCUUUCCGAUAAACACAUGCCCAUUUUAUGAAAUCUUUACUAAUUUGAUGUAUGAGAAUUGAUGUUGCAUUAUAUUGAUUUUUUAAAAAUUACUAGUGAAGUUAAAAGUUUAAACAAACUGAACUUAUUCUAAACAAUUAAAAGAAAAACCCACCAAACUAACAGUGAUAUAAGUAAUGGCUUUUCUGGGCCAGGGAUUGAAGCAUGCCUGCUUCACAUUGUCAUAUCCAACACACCUCAA
This is a non-coding RNA of Microcebus murinus (gray mouse lemur), 3687 nucleotides long. Lineage: Eukaryota; Metazoa; Chordata; Mammalia; Primates; Cheirogaleidae. The record is from RefSeq and is a predicted model, not a curated record.